This 47-nucleotide transfer RNA is filed under the name Pleurosigma sp. RCC3090. RNAcentral's name for it is "partial tRNA". Lineage: Eukaryota; Bacillariophyta; Bacillariophyceae; Naviculales; Pleurosigmataceae. The record is from RNAcentral.
UGGCAACGCAUUUGACUUGUAAUCAAAAGAUCCCCAGUUCAAUCCUG